Long non-coding RNA from Cavia porcellus (domestic guinea pig), 753 nucleotides. RefSeq lists it as uncharacterized. The record is from RefSeq and is a predicted model, not a curated record. Lineage: Eukaryota; Metazoa; Chordata; Mammalia; Rodentia; Caviidae. The transcript is spliced from 3 exons.
CACCAGCGGGCACUUUGCACCCCCUGUACCCCAAGUGCUCCAGGGCACAGGCUUCUUCCUUCAGGAGUGCAGGUCUUUCUGAGCCAGAAAGAACAGAACCUGUGGGUGACCCUGGGCCAGCUCUCUUUCCUGUGCUUCCAUUUCCACCUAGGGGGCAAGGAGACUAGUGUCAGCUUGGAGAGCUGCCUGAAGCUGUGGGCCCAGGACUCCUGAUGGGGUGCUGUGUCUGCCAGGCCGGGAAGCCACAGGGUGGGAGGCCAGUUGUGCACAGGUCCUGGGAUGGCUGCCGGCCUCAUGGGCUGUGGUCACCGGCUCUGACAUCUUUCUCUCACCAGACACUGAGUCUCACUGUGGAGCCCAGAGCAGCCUUGUGCCCACAGCCUUAGCCUCCCCAGGCCUGCGGUUGCAGGCAGGCACCGUGGGGACAGACAGUGGGGGUGAAGGUUGCCCAGCGGCCCAGGCCUGUGCAGGGGAGGAGCCAGCAGUGGUUCGGAGAGCGGCAGCCACUUGCUCGAAGACCUCAAGCCAGCCUCAUCUGCUUGGGACGCAGCCUUGACUGCAGACUCCUCUGCGGUUCUAAGUGAUCGGGCAGCAGAGCAGAGGACAGCCCUGCCCACCCCUGCCUCUCUCCAUGAAAGCAAAAUCCCACUCUGAGUUUAUACAGUGCGGUUCCAGGAAAAUUUCCAUGUAAAGAAAAAAAAAAAUAAAGAUUUCUGCUGCUAAAAAAUAAAAUUUCAAAAAAUUGCCUAAUAA